This is a non-coding RNA of Pelobates cultripes (western spadefoot toad), 675 nucleotides long. Lineage: Eukaryota; Metazoa; Chordata; Amphibia; Anura; Pelobatidae. The record is from the annotation of a GenBank genome assembly.
CUUUAAUGUCAUUGUUACAAUAGUAUACUCAGUAUAUUCAGACCAAUUCUCUAACCCAUUUGUUUUCCAGCGUGGUUAUUUUGCCUUGUCGGAAUUCUCCACAAUUCUUGAAUUAGGGAAUGACCCUGAUAGUUUAGUGAAUGGACCUCUAGACUUGGUAAAUAGGCCGCAAAAUAGCAGAGUUCCUAAACACUAAAUUUGCUUUUUUUUCUUGAUUAAAAUCAUUCUAUAAACAAGUUCACUCUUACGGGGGGAAAAAAGCACUUUUGUAUGGGGAACAUCAGUGUUUUAAAAAAUACUUUUUAUCGAUUGCUACUGCUUGUACCUUUUUAAUUACAUAGCCUGAAAAUUGUACUUGUUACAACAAAAGCAAAUUCUUGUCAAACAAAGGGUAUUGGUACCUUCACCCGAUUUAUCAAUAUUUUGGAGAAUUGUGUUAUUAUAGUUUUAAAUGUUAUGAAGAAAUGUCAUUGGACUGCUGACUCAUCAUUUUCUAUAUGCUGUAGUUCAAUGUAAGUACCCUACAAAUUAAAAAUGAAUGUACCUGUGACACUAGUAUUUUUAACCUGCAUAUGGCAAUGUAUUUUUCCAUGUGCUAAUGCAUCUCUUGGUGUUUUUAUUUUGUUGGGUUUUAUAUUGUUUAUGUAUGUAAAAACAAGUGCAUUGUAUAUUUUU